RNAcentral lists this transfer RNA (86 nucleotides) under bacterium. RNAcentral's name for it is "tRNA-Leu". It matches the Rfam family "tRNA". From Rfam's summary of the family: Transfer RNA (tRNA) molecules are approximately 80 nucleotides in length. Their secondary structure includes four short double-helical elements and three loops (D, anti-codon, and T loops). Further hydrogen bonds mediate the characteristic L-shaped molecular structure. tRNAs have two regions of fundamental functional importance: the anti-codon, which is responsible for specific mRNA codon recognition, and the 3' end, to which the tRNAs corresponding amino acid is attached (by aminoacyl-tRNA synthetases). tRNAs cope with the degeneracy of the genetic code in two manners: having more than one tRNA (with a specific anti-codon) for a particular amino acid; and 'wobble' base-pairing, i.e. permitting non-standard base-pairing at the 3rd anti-codon position. The record is from RNAcentral. RNAcentral also lists the same sequence under 2 other names.
GCCGGAGUGGCGGAACGGCAGACGCGCUGCGUUCAGGGCGCAGUGGGCGCAAGCCCGUGGGGGUUCAAAUCCCUCCUCCGGCACCA